AACCGAUUGUCUGUUCUUUGUGCAUUUAAUCUUUUAUGUAUUUUGUAUUCCAUAAUUCCAUGCGUAGAAUGUUUCUAAAUAAAUUUGCUCAUUAUUGAACAAUGCAACUGCAAGUAUUUUCUUAUACACUUUCCACAAGGAAUUCCCUGGAAAUCAUGGUUGUCUAUGAAGUGAGCAGUCCACCUAUUCCUAAUGCCUCAGAGUGUGAGGCUCACACCGUUCCAUUUCAAUAAAGCAUAUUUCAAAGGCUUCAGAGUUUGAGAGGCAUUUCAUGGCGAGAAUGUUUCGUACCGCUAUCAUUUUUUGGAAUAAUGUUGAAUAGGAAGUUGAAAGACAAGGCAAAGAUCCAUGUAUUUCAAAUUGAGUAGUGAUUUCCUUCUAUAUGCAGUUAAGAUUUCAUGAUAUUAUUUUUUUCGUGAUUAUUGAUUUAUGCUUAUUAUUUGCUGUAACAUUGAGUCAUGUUUUCUGUUUCAGUUAUGUAAGAAUAUUUGAAAGGAAUAUUUGGAAUUUUCUCUGAUCAUUUAUUUGUACAAUGCAUUGUCUAUUUAUACAAGUAUGUAGGAAAUAAGAAAAUAAAUAAAUUCUAAAUUCUGUCCUAAUUUGUACAAUUCUGAUUGGUCACUUAUUUAACAAGAAUAUUCUUUUACUAUGCUAGGAAGCUUCCAAAUGUGUAUAGGUGUUAUGUACAGCUGUGGUGUACCAGGAGAUGUGUGUGUUGAGCUCACUGAGCCAAUUCUACUGAAUCAUUCAUUUGGGCCCAAUAUAACUUUUGACCCAAUAUCUCUUUUGACCCUUUUCUCAUUUUCAGAUAUCUGAACAGACUUCGAUGUAUACAAAGAGCCCGUUUGGAUUGGCUUAUAAGUUGGCUUAUAAGCUGUUUUUAGCUUUUUUGAGUGUUUGGCUGGCCAGCUUAAAGUCAUUUUAUGCUUAAAAUAAGCUCAAAAAAAUAAUUGAACCCAUUUGACUUAGUUUAUCUAAAGCAGCUUAUAAGCUGAAAACAGCUUAUAAGCCAAAAAAAAUAAGUUGGACUACCCCAACUUAUUUUUUUCAGCUUAUAAGCUGCAAACAGCUUUAAGCUGUAAGCCAAUCCAAACGGGCUCAAAGUCUCAUUCGAACAUCUCCCUUUUCCCCUUUUCUAUUCAUCGUCUUCAUCUUUGUUGAUUUUUUCCAUUGAAACAGAUCUUGAGGAAAUUAAGUUACUUUGAAUUCCAACAUCCCCCUCAAGGUGGAGGGGAGCGUAGUGAGACAGAGCUUGCAAGAAUCCCAUGGUGAACAGGCCCAGAAAGAGAUUUUGUAAAGAUGUCGACCAACUGGUCUUUCGAGGGAACAAAUGACAAAGAAAUCAGGCCGGAAAGAUACUGUUGGCAUACAAAAUGACAGUCGAGUUCGACGUGUUUUGUUCGCUCAUGGAAGACCGGGUUGCGAGCAAUGUGGAUCGCUGCUUGACUACCGGAGUUGACCGGAACUGGAAGACACGGUGGAACUGACAGAUCUGCUAGAAGACAAGUCAACCAAGUCAAUUCAGCAACCAAACGUCUCAUUGAACGAUACUCAGCCUCAGCGGAUGAAAGGAAAAUAGAAAUCUGUUUCUUGGAUUUCCAAGAAAUGGGUGAGCCUCCCAAGCUAACAAAGAAACCACUAAUGGACCUCCGAGAAUCACGACAUGAAGCCCAAUCAGCAUCGCAAAAGGCCUGGAGAGAGAGUGAAGAUGAAGAAUUGAAGAACAAACCCUGAUUUGGAUAUUGUUUGAGAUCUGCAGAAUCAGCAGCAGGCUGAAUAGCAUGAGGUCCUGUGAUGAAUCCCAGCUUGUUCUUUGCAGAUAAGGCAAGAAGAAUAGAUCUCUUCCAUCCUUAAUACCCUUUUCCAUCAAAGAGAUUAUUGACUAGCAGCAUACCAGGUGCAUCAGAAGCAUGAAGAUAGUAUGGAUGAUUAGAAUCCACAUUUUGUGAACUGCCCUGUGCUUGUGUAGCAGCAGCUGAGAUGGUUGAGUUUUCAGGCAUUUUGAUAGUGAUUUAGGUUGAUAGAAACAUUUCUCAGAUCUGGAAAUUAGGGUUGAUUAAUGCUCUGAUACCAUGUAAGAAUAUUUGAGAGGAAUAUUUGGAAAUUUUCUCUGAUCAUUUAUUUGUACAAUGCAUUGUCUAUUUAUACAAGUAUGUAGGAAAUAAGAAAAUAAAUAAAUUUUAAAUUCUGUCCUAAU
Molecule: long non-coding RNA, 2197 nt
Organism: Lycium barbarum (goji berry)
Lineage: Eukaryota; Viridiplantae; Streptophyta; Magnoliopsida; Solanales; Solanaceae
Exons: 2
Source: RefSeq, a predicted model, not a curated record